This 417-nucleotide ribosomal RNA is filed under the name uncultured Clostridium sp. Its description in RNAcentral is "bacterial SSU rRNA". It matches the Rfam family "Bacterial small subunit ribosomal RNA", at positions 349 to 782 of the family's 1533-position model. The record is from RNAcentral. Lineage: Bacteria; Bacillati; Bacillota; Clostridia; Eubacteriales; Clostridiaceae.
CAGCAGUGGGGAAUAUUGCACAAUGGGGGAAACCCUGAUGCAGCGACGCCGCGUGAGUGAAGAAGUAUUUCGGUAUGUAAAGCUCUAUCAGCAGGGAAGAAGAAUGACGGUACCUGACUAAGAAGCCCCGGCUAACUACGUGCCAGCAGCCGCGGUAAUACGUAGGGGGCAAGCGUUAUCCGGAUUUACUGGGUGUAAAGGGAGCGUAGACGGCAAUGCAAGUCUGAAGUGAAAGGCCGGGGCUCAACCCCGGGACUGCUUUGGAAACUGUGUAGCUGGAGUACAGGAGAGGUAAGUGGAAUUCCUAGUGUAGCGGUGAAAUGCGUAGAUAUUAGGAGGAACACCAGUGGCGAAGGCGGCUUACUGGACUGUAACUGACGUUGAGGCUCGAAAGCGUGGGGAGCAAACAGGAUUAGA